Molecule: ribosomal RNA, 399 nt
Filed under: uncultured bacterium
Lineage: Bacteria
Description: bacterial SSU rRNA
Rfam family: Bacterial small subunit ribosomal RNA
Source: RNAcentral
AUAUUGCUUAAUGGGCGCAAGCCUGAAGCAGCAACGCCGCGUGUGCGAUGAAGGCCUUCGGGUUGUAAAGCACUUUUGACCGGGAAGAGGAAGGACGGUACCGGUCGAAUAAGCCUCGGCUACCUACGUGCCAGCAGCCGCGGUAACACGUAGGAGGCGAGCGUUAUCCGGAUUUACUGGGUGUAAAGCGCGUGCAGGCGGCAUGCUAAGUUGGGUGUGAAAGCUCCCGGCUCAACUGGGAGAGGUCGCUCAAGACUGGCAGGCUCGAGAGCAGUAGAGGAAGGUGGAAUUCCGGGUGUAGUGGUGAAAUGCGUAGAUAUCCGGAGGAACACCAGUGGCGAAAGCGGCCUUCUGGACUGCAUCUGACGCUCAGACGCGAAAGCUAGGGUAGCAAACGGG